CUUGAUUGAACCCCAAAUCUGUCUUUGAACACUUUGGUAAGCAUGCUUGAAAGUCUCUUUUCUGUCUUGCCUUUGAAUAUGUCUUACAGGUGUAGUCCCCAUGGAGCAAAGAGAAUGCAAUGAAUGUUGUAUGACCAAACUCAUAAGCGUGAUUUUGGUAAAAGUUUAAAUCAUUAUAAUUUGAGAUCUCACAUAGCCCCCACUCUGAAGUGAUAUUUUCUAUAGGUUUCUGUUUUUGGAUGAUUAUAGAUCAAUAGAGUGUUUAUUUCCGUAUUCUGCUUUGCCAGCCAAUGAGUUUUUGAAGUAGAAAAACCUUUUAGCCCUCUCACCAUGCUUUACAAAUAAGCAAUUACUGAUAUAAAAGGGGCGUUCAGUAUCUGUAAAAUGAACUAGGUUUGUACCACGAUAAUGUUGUGCAGUACUUGUAGCUUGUUAAGGAAUUGCAGAGCUUAUUUUUGUUGCAUUCCUACAUGGCUUUUGAUAUAGACCACAGUAGAAAUAGUUAGCAUUCAGAAAUUAGUUACUAGUUCCAUUAUAUGAUGCCUAAAUUGCAGUGCUUUUAUAAUUUUCUCUUCAUCUGUGCCCUGCAGCAUUUGAAAUGUCGAUUCAAGCUUUCAAUAUAAUGUCUUGAUCAAAUUUAUCAUGCAACCUUUUCCUUGUAUGAGUUGCUUCAUGUCAUCUUGAUAGAAUUCUGAAGUGCUCAUCCUCAUCUAGUUCAAAUAAUUUGAUUUCGGCAUCUAGAAGAUUACUAAAUUUGAAAUGCUGCCAAUUUUUGGCAAGGACUUGCAAGUGUGUCAAUAUGGUAUUAAUGCAUGCAAUGGUCAUGGGAUUAAGUCUAGUUGCUACCCAUUAAUGAAAAUGGAGGAGGCGUCAAGAAAUGAGACUGACCAGCAUGCAAGAAGCGUGUUUGAAGCUUUUAGAAAGGUGGUUCAAUAGUAAUUCGUGUGGGUAUAUGUGUUUGAUUUACUGAAAGGGAAGUUUAUGUUUUGGUUUUAGUCUAAUGGAACUUUUGGUUACAAGGAAGGUCAUAUCACAUAUGGGCCUUUGCAUGUUUCUUAAAUUUGUUCUUUCUUAGAAAACUCUUUAGGCACUUGGAAACAAGAUUUCAGGGAUUAGUUCUGCUGAUUUCUAAGAAUAAAUUGGUGAGGCUAUAAGAUAUUGGAACUUAUGUUAGAAAAUCGAACUAGACAUAAGAGUAUUAUUCGAAUGAAAUUGAUCAAAUGAUUGUGAUAUUGAGUCUCAAAUUCGAUUGUUUUGACUUAUAAAAUUUACACAGUUGGGUUUUACAAUGUGCUGAAAUUAUCCUUUUGUCAUGUCGAUGUUGAGUUUUCAUUGUUUCUCUUCUUCCUUCUCUCUAAUCCUGUUGUUGGUAGGUGAAAGGUUGUUUAGAAUAAAGGGAAGAAUAAGACUACUUGCACAUUGAAAUGUGUACAUUUUUGAUUAAAUCUUUCUCUGUGGAUGGAAAAAGUGUUUUUAAAAUCAAUAUACCCAAAUUUGCCAAUUCAGGAGUGUAAACUAAGGUAUUCAUAUAGCAUGGCUCUAAAGGGGAAAGCCAACUAAGAUUUGCUGCUACAAGGAAUGGCUAGUGAUCAGUUGAUGUAGAUGUGUCUUCAGUGCAUGUUUUAUGCAAUAUAUAUAUAUAUAU
RNAcentral lists this long non-coding RNA (1645 nucleotides) under Olea europaea subsp. europaea. Lineage: Eukaryota; Viridiplantae; Streptophyta; Magnoliopsida; Lamiales; Oleaceae. The record is from RNAcentral.